This 102-nucleotide transfer RNA is filed under the name Microcaldota archaeon. Its description in RNAcentral is "Candidatus Micrarchaeota archaeon (hot springs metagenome) tRNA-Met". Lineage: Archaea; Nanobdellati; Microcaldota. The record is from RNAcentral.
AGCGGGGUAGGGUAGCAUGGAGAUAGCUUCUUCUUGGAGGCUACCAUAAUGCCCGCUGGGCUCAUAACCCAGAGAUCCGUGGUUCAAAUCCACGCCCCGCUA